UACGUAGGGCGCAAGCGUUAUCCGGGAUUAUUGGGCGUAAAGAGCUCGUAGGCGGUUUGUCGCGUCUGCCGUGAAAGUCCGGGGCUUAACCCCGGAUCUGCGGUGGGUACGGGCAGACUAGAGUGCAGUAGGGGAGACUGGAAUUCCUGGUGUAGCGGUGAAAUGCGCAGAUAUCAGGAGGAACACCGAUGGCGAAGGCAGGUCUCUGGGCUGUAACUGACGCUGAGGAGCGAAAGCAUGGGGAGCGAACAGG
Molecule: ribosomal RNA, 253 nt
Filed under: uncultured bacterium
Lineage: Bacteria
Description: partial 16S ribosomal RNA
Rfam family: Bacterial small subunit ribosomal RNA
Source: RNAcentral